UUAAAUUCAAGUCAACAGCUGCCAAAGAACUUUCCGUGAGUCGAGGACACUACCAAGCAUGGAAGGAUUAGAGAGAAGUCCAACCAAGCCCAUGACACUUGCCUGGAGGCCACUUCUGUACCAAUCAUCUCUGUUAGUGACACAUCUUCUUUCUUUGGUUUUUGACCUGUCAAGGCCAAUCCUCAGAGAAUCCUAAUGGCUGGAGAAUGUACUGGGUUUCUGAAAGACAAGAGUUGGGCUCCAACCAAAGAUGAAUUGGCUCAACCUGUGGGAGCCAUGAACUAGCUUGACGUGAAGCUUCGGGUCAGUGAGGAUUGUCUACAGGAGGACUUUGUGACAAGUACACUAUUUACCAAGGUAGUGAGGGGAGUGUACAGUCUCCCUGAAGGUUGCCAAGAAUUUUAGGUUGUUUCCCAAUCUGCAGGCACU
This 429-nucleotide long non-coding RNA is filed under the name Homo sapiens (human). Its description in RNAcentral is "long non-coding RNA NONHSAT223858". Lineage: Eukaryota; Metazoa; Chordata; Mammalia; Primates; Hominidae. The record is from RNAcentral.